UACGUAGGGUGCAAGCGUUAAUCGGAAUUACUGGGCGUAAAGCGUGCGCAGGCGGUUUUGUAAGUCUGAUGUGAAAGCCCCGGGCUCAACCUGGGAAUUGCAUUGGAGACUGCAAGGCUUGAAUCUGGCAGAGGGGGGUAGAGUUCCACGUGUAGCAGUGAAAUGCGUAGAGAUGUGGAGGAACACCGAUGGCGAAGGCAGCCCCCUGGGUCAAGAUUGACGCUCAUGCACGAAAGCGUGGGGAGCAAACAGG
RNAcentral lists this ribosomal RNA (253 nucleotides) under uncultured bacterium. RNAcentral describes it as "partial 16S ribosomal RNA". It matches the Rfam family "Bacterial small subunit ribosomal RNA", at positions 524 to 776 of the family's 1533-position model. The record is from RNAcentral.